RNAcentral lists this ribosomal RNA (472 nucleotides) under uncultured bacterium. RNAcentral's name for it is "partial 16S ribosomal RNA". It matches the Rfam family "Bacterial small subunit ribosomal RNA", at positions 356 to 813 of the family's 1533-position model. The record is from RNAcentral.
UGGGAAUAUUGGACAAUGGGCGCAAGCCUGAUCCAGCCAUGCCGCGUGUGUGAAGAAGGCCUUCGGGUUGUAAAGCACUUUUGUCCGGAAAGAAAUCCUGUCGGCUAAUACCCGGCGGGGAUGACGGUACCGGAAGAAUAAGCACCGGCUAACUUCGUGCCAGCAGCCGCGGUAAUACGAAGGGUGCAAGCGUUACUCGGAAUUACUGGGCGUAAAGCGUGCGUAGGUGGUUUGUUAAAGUCUGAUGUGAAAGCCCUGGGCUCAACCUGGGAACUGCAUUGGAUACUGGCUUACUAGAGUGCGGUAGAGGGUGGCGGAAAUUCCCGGUGUAGCAGUGAAAAUGCGUAGAUAUCGGGAGGAACAUCCGUGGCGAAGGCGGCCAACCUGGACCAGCACUGACACUGAGGCACGAAAAGCGUGGGGAGCAAAACAGGAUUAGAUACCCUGGUAGUCCACGCCCUAAAACGAUGCG